UUCGGUACGAUCGGUGACAGGUGGUGCAUGGUUGUCGUCAGCUCGUGUCGUGAGAUGUUGGGUUAAGUCCCGCAACGAGCGCAACCCCUAUUGUUAGUUGCCAUCAUUCAGUUGGGCACUCUAGCGAGACUGCCGGUAAUAAACCGGAGGAAGGUGGGGAUGACGUCAAAUCAUCAUGCCCCUUAUGACCUGGGCUACACACGUGCUACAAUGGUUGGUACAACGAGUUGCGAGUCGGUGACGGCGAGCUAAUCUCUUAAAGCCAAUCUCAGUUCGGAUUGUAGGCUGCAACUCGCCUACAUGAAGUCGGAAUCGCUAGUAAUCGCGGAUCAGCACGCCGCGGUGAAUACGUUCCCGGGCCUUGU
RNAcentral lists this ribosomal RNA (365 nucleotides) under uncultured Streptococcus sp. RNAcentral's name for it is "bacterial SSU rRNA". It matches the Rfam family "Bacterial small subunit ribosomal RNA", at positions 1018 to 1384 of the family's 1533-position model. Lineage: Bacteria; Bacillati; Bacillota; Bacilli; Lactobacillales; Streptococcaceae. The record is from RNAcentral.